GCGGCGGCCGCGCCUGUCAGGCCGCGUUAGGAGCAGCGCGGCCGCCGCCCCCUCCGCGGGGAGCGGAGCGGGAGGGGCCCGGCGCACCUGCAGGCCGGCCCCGCCUCACGGGACCCGGCAGCGCCCCGCUCCCUCCCCGCUGACUUGCUCCGCUGUCGCUCCUGGAGGGCAUGGUGAGUUAACAAAAUUAAUGGCAGGUGAAAUUUGCAGCCCUGGGAAAGUAGUACACACUAAAGGGGAAGAUGGAUGGAUUGUCAUGAAGUGAUGGCAUCAGCUCUAAAGAAAAAGGGGUGGCUCCUCGUGUUCUUCAGAGAUUUGAGCUUUUUUCUGAAGCCCACAACUGUCAAUUUCCCACCUUAUAGCUGUCUUCCUCUAUCAAGACAAUUGCACUUAGAAAAAGCACUCCUUGUGACUUUGCUGUAGCCUCUAAUUAUUCUCUGCUGAAAAGAAGAGGAUGCUGGUGUGGCUCCUGUUACAGAGCAAAGAGGAGGCAGAAGGUUACAAGGAAGAUGAAGAGGAAUGAUUAAAGGUGUGGAACAUUUCCAUCUGAGGAGAUAGUAAAUGAAAAGUAAACAGACCAAGAUGUUUGUAUUUGGAGAAAGGGUAACUGAGGGGAUACUAUGAAAGAAAUCUAUGAAAUGGUGACUGGUAUUAAGGCAGAUAGCAAUUACAUACAAAUUUUCACAAUAGGAGCAUUGAAUGGGAAUCUAUAAAAUUGUUGUUUGGCAGGUUCAAAACACAGGGAAAUAUUUUUUUUCCAUAAAAUAAAAAUGAAUGUAGAAUAAACUUGUUAUGAUAAUAAAAAUGAGAAUGGGUUAAAAAAGGAAUCAGAGCCAUCUUACCUUGGAGACAAGCCUAUUGAAGACUAUUAUGCAGUGGUCUAGAAAGAAAUCUCCAGCUUGGAAUUAUUGGGAGCCACAGGAUAUGCCCUGGAAAGCAUAGAUUUGUAUGUCUAAUGUGCUUUUCAUGAGCACCCACAACUGACUACUGUGGGGAAGAAGGAACUGAGCUACAAAGACCUCUGGUCUGCCCAAGUACAGACAUUUUGACUUCUACUUUCCAAACACAGUAAAUUACUUUAAUGAGGCUUCUAAUAUCAGCCAUAUAAUGUGAAGUUAGCACAGGUAGGCAAUAUUUUAGAUAUUACAUCUAACUCCAUAUUUGAUUAACAGCUAUGAAAUAUCUAAAGGGCAUUAUUUGGCAUCAUUCAAAUGGAACUGAUCUUAUGCCAUGGAUGCAACAAACCUCUAUUGAGACCAGAACACUUUCUUUCGGUAACCACCAUGCCACAUGUUUUUAUCAGGCACUGAUUUGGGGGAGAAUUAAUCUUUAUAAAGUUAUUACGUUAGAGUGUCCUAGUUAUGUCAAAGUACAGAGCUGGGGGUUUCUUCAUUUUUACAAAUAUUGCUAAACAUUUAAUUUCAGAUUUUCAGUCUGGUGGAUAAUAAAAUAUGACUACCCACCAAACUUGGAGCAUUAAAUGGAGACUGUGUUUUUGGCAGCUCAUCGUAGAGGGACUAAUAUUUCUAGAAUAGCUUUGUUUCUCAGCAAUGCCUCCUUAAAAACAGCUUCUUCUGAACACAUAUUUCUAUUUUAUUGAGAAAAGGAAAUACAGUAUUAGAAAUCAAUGCUUUUAAAGGGUAAUUUAAAGAAAUCUAUCUUGGCAGAUGCUGAAAUAUUUUCAAUUUAGAACAAAUAGUAUUUCUGUCAUCCAGUUGGAUUUUUAAAAUUAGACCAUUACUCCUUGAUAAGUUAAUUACAAAAGAGAAAGAGACUCAACCAAUCUAAAAAAGCGUAUUGAUGAAAGUAUAGAGCACAUGUCUAAAGGCUGCUUUUACUGAUUUAUGGGUGAAAUUUUACUUUUUAUAUGAGAAAACCCUGUCUCCAAUGUCUUAAAUCAUAGGAAAAAUGCUCAAUUUUUCACCCUAUCACAACUAAUUUUAUACAUUGGUACACUGAUGGACUACUGUUUUCCUGUGCUACCAUCCAUUAUUAAAAGUGACAGCAUCAUAAUUGAAAUUAUUUAAAAUAUGGUGCAUUUAGAUAAUUCUUUACUUCAGUAUAAAUAUGACUACACAAGAAAUGCUGCUAUACUGGAAAUUGCUAGGAUGAGCUAACAAAAUGGAAUUAUUGCUCAGCAUGCCAUAUUUGGGGGUAGGAAAUGAAAAAUAUCAGAACUUCCUUUGAAAUGCAGAAAGGUUAGAGGAAUGGAAGGGAACAUUUUUGUUGUCUGAGAUGCAGACAAGGGAAGCAUGGACUAUGUUGCAACCAUGAGUUGAAAUGUCUCCAGGUCCAUCAGCUGAAUCCUGUUCUUGCCAAAAUCCCUGACAAGUCUUUCAGCUGAGUGAAGUCACAAUUUCACCCCAAGGAUUUUGGGGUAAAAGGAAGUAAAACUCACCAAAAAAAAUUGCACUGUAUGAUUACCUUUGUAUCAUCUAUCCAUGGAUGUUCCUGUAACUGUGAUGCAUGGUUGCAUUUUGUGCUUCUUACAGUAAGAACUUGCCAAGGUGCCCAGUGGGCAUCCUUCCUGAUUAGUGCUGGGGUCUGAGCCAAAGUCAUGGCAGGUAUCAGUCUAAGAGUUUAACAAAAUGAAUAAUGGCAAGCCAGAACCCAAACUAAAUGCCAUCUAUGAGUAAUUUACCAGUAUAGAAACCCUCCUACAGAGCCAACAGAUGUUGCUGUCCUAAAGUGAACAGGCAGAUUUAGCCAUUUCAGAUCCUGUAAAAUUUUAUAGACUUUCACAGACCUGGCCAACUGGUGAAAAAGAACCUGGCCAAGUGCAGAAAAAUGGCAGAAAUAACCAAUCUGGAUUAUGGGGGAUGUCUAUCAAAGUCUAUGAAACUGUACAGUAGCUGAAAAGAUGAAAUUUGCUUGUCCACUUUAGGGAAGCAGCAUAUUGGGGUAAGAAAAUACUUAUAAUAUUAUAAACACAUUAAAUAGAACUGGCCCUAGAACUGAUCCUGGAGGAGCACUGCUGCUGACUGGUCACCAGCCAGUUUUAAGUACAUGCCCUUAACAACAGCCCUUAGAUUGUUCAAUACCAGGUGAAAUCAUUAGAAGUUUUAACAAAAAGGUGUUUGCAGAAGACUUCUAUACUUCAAAUACAAGAAAGGAAAAAAAUAAAAAAGAAGAAAAAAAGUAUGGGACACAAUAAAACUCUCAAUUUUCAGUAUACUGUCCAGUGGUACUUUUGAAAACCCAGAACUUUUGAAAAAACAGGCAAUUUUAAAAAUUAUAUGUUAAGUCUCCUUUAUACAAGGCUUUCCGUAUUACUGCUCACAUCAAUACUAUCUCAGAGAUAACAGUAACCCAUAGAAUGCAAUAUUGCUUACCUUCCCAAAUGUGAAGCAAAAUUUAGGCAGAUACUAUGCCUUGGCUGUACACCUCCAUCUCCUCCCGCUGAUGAACAGCAAUGCAAGUACCACUGUAAACUUUAUGCUGUUUCAUGAGAAAUCCAAGGACACAAUUAUCUCCAUUAUCAGAAAGUAUUCAGCUGUGUCCAGCAUCAUCUCCAGAUGCUUAGCCACAUCUCAGUGUACACUGUAAUAUGAGAUCUAAGACUGACCAGUCUGACUAUUUCUUUAAAAGUUGUAUAGCAGGUGAUCAUCUUUUACCAUAUAUACCUGCAAUUAUGAAAGUAAUUAAGUAGUACAGGUGAGCCCAAGAAGUCCCUCAAAUAAAAUCCCGGAGACUCACAAUGUUAUUGUAAUUAGCUGUCUGUCUUAGUAGGCUGUCUGUUUGUUUUUUGCAUCUGCCCUCCGUGCUGGGGAUGACAACCCAUAAUUUGACAGAAAAAUACUUUAAAUGAUUUCUUACUGAGAUGAGGACUUAUUUUCAUUUUCCCCAGUUCUUUCUUUCCUCUGCUUUUAAUUACAAAUAUUCAUGGCACUGAGAGCCAAAAUAAUGAUCUCCACUCCUCCUAUUUAAAGAGAAAACCUGUCUGGUUUGUUUUAUCUUUACUUUACAAGGUGACAAGAGUCUAAGGACCCUGAAGGACAGGCAUGUCAGCUCCACAGUUUUGGUUUGGGAUCGUUCCAGGUUAGACAACUUUUCAAAUACCCCUAAGUACCACUAUGGAACAGUUUACAUUUUGAUAUAAAUUAGAUUCCUGUCUGUAAGUGUGGACUUCUAAUUUCCACAGAGGAAAAAUGGAACCUGGAAAUUCUAUAUGACAAAUAAACAUA
Long non-coding RNA from Oenanthe melanoleuca, 4184 nucleotides. RefSeq lists it as uncharacterized. Lineage: Eukaryota; Metazoa; Chordata; Aves; Passeriformes; Muscicapidae. The transcript is spliced from 4 exons. The record is from RefSeq and is a predicted model, not a curated record.